AUGGGAAGAUGUGCCUACUUCCCCUUUGCCUUCCACCGUGACUGUACAUUUCCUGAGGACUCCCUAGCCAUGCUUUCUGUACAGCCUGCUGAACUCUCUGCCCAAAUUUCAUAUGUCACAGAAUGAGUGAUCCUCGUAGUAUAAUGGAAACGUAUCAUCUCAGUUUCCCCAUGGCCUGAAUGUCCUUACAAAAUGAGAGCCAGUAGGGAAAAACAGAGGACGUGAGGACUUUUUAAAAAAUGAGGAAAAGUGGAAGGAAAAGUAAGAAUGAAGGUGAAGAUGAAGGAAUAUGUCAGAGAUACUAGCACUGGCAUCCCCAACCACACAGUACCAUGUCCUGCUAAAGAACUCUAUAGAACACACAUAGUGUAGAUGGCAGUCUUCUUGGGGAAUCCAUCUGAGAAAAAGAGGCUUCAGGAUUGCAAGAUUUCAGCUACUGUCUCUCCUCGGAGCAGGAUUCCAUCUUUCCCAUGGCUGGGGCCCUUGACACAUGUCACUGUGCACUGCUCUUCUCGCUGGGAAAAGGAAACUGAGGCCCAGAGAGGGCAAGUGAAUUUCCCAAGAUUGCCCGGAUGAUAUGGAGCUGAGCUGGAAAGUGAGCCUGGAUCUCUCUGGUUCUGAAAGCUUUGCUCGAAAGCACAGGAUGACACCUCCAUUCAAUCAAUAAGCACUGAGACCUUUCCAUGGACUCAGCAGGUCCUGCUGUCCCUGAAGCUUGACACUCUCAUUUCAAACCACAGCGAGAACCCAAAAAGGAAACAGUGCAAGGAAAAUAAUGUGAUAUUUGAGAGGCAGCAUGGGUUAUUGGGGACAGGGUUCAUGUCCCUUCUCUCCCACACACAUGGCAUGAUGCUAAGCAGGUCACCUCACCUCUCCAGGGUUGUUUCCUCAACUGAGAAAAUGAGGGGGUUGAGAUGAACGCCAGCCCUGGGGUGCUCAAUGCUGCAGUCUAGGGUGGUGUGGACUGGAAUCAGAAUUCUUUCUCCUCCGCUCUGGGUGCUGACACAUGAUCUCUGGCUCUCACUCCCCACCCCUAAUCUUGCCUAUCUGAGUUUCAGGUUAUUUUUUCCUUCCUCUUACUCUUCAAUUUCCUUAUUGAGGAAGCUCUUUCCUGCUGCCUCUGUCCCCGCUGGAGCUGUUUGAUCCAGCAGAGCCAGUCGAAGCCAAGGGGACCCUGACUUGAAUCUUGCUUUCUGACAUGCUGGCUGUGGCUUGCUUGGGACCUGAAUAAGAGCUUGCUUACUCCCGGUGUUCACCACAGCGGAACCAUGGGUGCAUAAAUGUAAUUCUCAACCAGCCCAGUUUAAUCAGCGAAAGACAAUAGAGCUUGCAGGCGGUGUCAUGCUGAGUAUCUGAACACACCAUGGCUGCUGUCGCCCUUUUCAUUAAAAUGAUUGAAAAUGUAUUUCUAAACAGAA
This 1418-nucleotide long non-coding RNA is filed under the name Pongo abelii (Sumatran orangutan). RNAcentral describes it as "lincRNA". The record is from RNAcentral. Lineage: Eukaryota; Metazoa; Chordata; Mammalia; Primates; Hominidae.